Exaiptasia diaphana is the source of this 12745-nucleotide long non-coding RNA. RefSeq lists it as uncharacterized. The record is from RefSeq and is a predicted model, not a curated record. Lineage: Eukaryota; Metazoa; Cnidaria; Anthozoa; Actiniaria; Aiptasiidae. The transcript has 2 exons.
AUAUAGGUAUAGUUAUAGAGUAGGUACAUUUAUAGGGUAAGUAGGUAAAGGUUAAGUGUAGCGUUUUGAAAACAUCAUGAUUAUAUCACCAGCACAGUACUAUCAAAAAUAAUCUCAAAUAAUGUUGAAUGGUGCUUUCUCUAUGCUAUUAAAUAAAUGGUCGGAAACCGUUUAACAAGUUAGCUUCACUCACYCAGUACUUCCUGUACUGACAGCUCACGAAWAGUCAGUCAAUACCAAACAGAGUUUUAAACUUUGUUAUCAUAAUAAUUUCUCAAGAAUGCUCUAGAAUCGCGAUAGUAUGAAUGGUUUGUUUGCCUAUUUUGAUAGAGAACCAAGAACAGGUUGAAAAACGCCAAUUUGUUAUGAAUUAUUUAUGGCGUGUGACACUUGGGUGUACAUUUAGUGAUAUUAGUGACAAUACCAGCAUGUUGUAAAGACCUAGUGAGAUCUUGCUUAUGUCUGAAGUAAGAAAACCAAGGUUGCACGCUGGCAGUAGAGUCAUGCUGGCAGAAACAACGCAGUCUUUAAUGGCACUCGUUUUUACCAUGAUGAAAAUUGUAAACAUCGAAAUAUAACUGAAAUAAAAGACAUUUCUGUGCGCAAAUUGAGGAAUUUCGUUUCUUUGAACGGCUGAAAUCUUAAGAAUAAUAAAGACUGUGUGGAACUUGAAGUACCUGCUAGGAAUCGUAUUAUAAUUAUUGCUAUAAUGAGCCGACGUGGCAGCCAGCAUUUCUAAAACUGGUGUUUACGCGAACUCAAUCGGCGAUGAAAAAACACUAAAUGCGCUCUAAAAGAAACUGACAAAGCUCUUAAUUAAGUCUUUUUAACGCCAAAAAGGCAUAGAUUUUAAUAAAAAGGAAUAGAAAAUUUAAUAACAAGCUAAGACUAAACGCAAAAAUUCAAAAAAAGAAAAAAAAAGAGCAAACUAACACAAAAGCGAAGUUUAUAUUCCGCGAGAGGGUAAUUUCUUUGUUAGAAAGCGCGCCAAUUAUUAUUUUUUUCAGGCGACUUUAAAGUAUUUAUGUUUGUAUGCCUUGCACUGUCCCUGUAGCCCUAAUAUUUACUGUUCUCGGUAAUGAAAGCUUUUGAGAAUGCCGAUAGGCACUCGCGACUUGACAUACCUAAUCCCCUUAUUCAACUUUAUGUGCUAGAAGUUAUUGGCCAAGUUUUAAAAUUAGGACUCAUAAUCCUAGGCUUUAUGUUGAACUAACUCUAAAAGACUAUCUGUUCUGUAGUGUAGCUUGAAUUUGUGAGCUUUUUUGGUUUAGUUUAAGUGUAAACAGCCAUGAGAGAUAGGCAGAUGUAGUCAAUUUAUUACAGAUUGCAAAACAUGGACUCAAACAUCUAACUGUUUUUAGCGCGAUGGGGGUUUUUCCCUCACAGAUUAGAACCGACAAAACUAAAGUCUCCACUGUUCAUUUUGGAAUAUGACGAAACAUUUCAGGCAGUUUUAUAAAGAUAAUAAUCUUUCAAGUCCAUUUCAUUGGCCGUAUUUCAUUUUAACUUGUAAUUUCAUUUUGGGAAAUAAUUUUUUGCGGUUGUUUUCACGAUUAAAAGAGUGAUGAGAGCUAAGUUACGAGUCAUUCCUAGUAACAACAACAUUGGACACAAUAAUGUCAAAUACUAAARAUUUAAAGAAAAAUAAUCAUCUUUAUAAAAAGAAAAAGAAACAUUGAUUUCCAAAACACAUAAUAUUAUAUUCAAUUUUUUAAAAUUUUUGAACGUUUCGCUCUGUUCAGGGCACACUGCCAAACCGGCUCAAUUUUUCAACUUCCAACGAAAAAACUCACUUCAAUYCGCUAUUCUCACUUUCAUUAAAGUUUUCCCAUAAGUAAUUUUAGYUCCUGACGGCACAAAAAGAAUUUGAGCGAUAGAAAAAAUUGUUCUUAUGGACAACGCCAAUUGACGGCAGGUAUUUUACUGAAGUCCCCCCUACGUUAAAGAUAACGUGUACUCCUGACUCCCUCCUUGACUCCUCUUGGGCUAGGAACCUUUUUCUUUUUUACAAAGACUGCGCUGAAAAGCGCCUUCCUACCUUGCCGRUCUUCCUAUGAAUAAUUCCAGCCAUCUAUUUUCGCAUAUGUUUAACUCGUCYCUGACUAUAUUAAAGCUUACCGGCUGACUCCGAAAACAUCCUAUAUACAAGCAAAGAAGUUCAAGGAAAGUCGUCCAAAGUCUGGCCUAUGUAAGGAAUAAUUUCUCGAAUAAACCUUAUCUUGCCCGCCAACUUAUCAUGUAGUUAAACAGGUCUUUUCUCGGUGUAUUUAUGUACCUAGAUCUAUGUAUAUGUAUAGAAUGCAAAUGGCAAAAAGUUGAAUUGCUAAACACUGGUUCUUGGGCUGUGUAUGACAAAACUGAACGCAUUGUGUUGGUGAACCGUCGCAAAGUCCACAUCAAAGUUUUCUCGCUAAAAAUGUUUUUCAUUUUCGACGCAAAACGCUUAAUUGAACGACUGGGAUAGUUUAUCGUGGAGUUUUGAAAGAAAUAUCGAUGGGAGAACAGUGUUUUCAACAACAGCCAUACAAUGGUUCAAACUGUAAAAGGAUGUUCUAGGUUUUGGCUGCUUGAUGAAUCGCCGCAAGAAUGGCCAAAUUCAUCCUUGAUGUAUGCAAAUCGAGUCGGUUUUCUAAUUCAAAUUCGUCCAUAUAUUAAAAUCUAGUGUUUUCAAAUCGAGAAAGCCACUUCUACGUUGUUUAGGGUAGCAAGAAUAUCAGUUCGACGGGGAAGAUUCUUAAGGUAUUUUCAACAACCAAGCGUGCUCAAGCGCUGGGUUGACUCCCUUAAGCAUGUGUUUGCCUCAAUUCCGAAAUAAUUUCAUUGAAAUAUUAGAAAAUUAGACCAUGUUUUCAUUCAUGAAUUCCGCAGUAAGUCGAUACAUUGAACAGGGAUCAAUCAUUUCACUGCUAGCAUUGAAAUGGCUUUUUGUUCAACAUUGAAAUGGGUUCCAAUAUGCUUGUAUUUUUCGUUACAGUCGAAAAGCUUCGACCACGUUGUCUCUAGUUACUCUAUAUCCCGAUUACUGCUUGACCAACUGUGUUCAAUGUGUUUAGAGGCUGUGUAGUGUUUUGCAAAAAGGCCAAAAGAGGCACGCAAGAUAUACAAGUUAUAUUUGAGUUCGGAUUAAAGGAAGAAAAAACACCAGACCUUAUGGAUUUUAUUGUGUUUUUAAGCUUAGUCAUUUCUCGACUGAUUGUCUCCUAGUAGUGUAAGCCAGGUGUGCUGAAAAGGCACUAAGGAUGAAAUUUCACAUAAAACUCACAACCAAUACACGGUGUAAAAUAACCUGUAAUUCCUAAAGUAUGAUUAAAAAUUACUUUUGUGCCUAAAUGCGCAAAACUCGGGAUGGAUUAGGCGCUGUAUGCAAAGCAUAGUUGAAAACAGCGUCGGUUCUUCCUACACUUCGUGUAGCUUUAUGACAAAAGAAAAUUGUCAGUUACCCUUGUGCAUUCUUGCUCGAGUAGUAGUUAGUUCUAUAUAAUGAUAUUCCUUCGCAGAUAUUUCCAUAAUUCUAAGAAUACAUUAGUUAUAAUAAAUACAAGAAAAAAGAGUGAAAAGCACACGCUACAAGAUGAACCUGCUUCGAUUCCACAAGCAAACAAGACUUGCUUUCGGUAUAACACAGCUCUCAAAAUAUCCUGAUAAAUGUCUUAAAAUUACCUCUUCUGCUUUUCACUGUCGAGGUAAUUUGAAUAUGCUUUUUAUUGUUUUCAUUUGAAGGGCAGACUUAUUGAAGUUUUAGUUUCAACAUUUGUGGAAGAUAACAUUCGCCUCAAAGCAAGGACAAACCAUGCUCAGUGUACUCGAGCAAACAUGCUUCAUCGUGUUUCAUUUUGAGUUUUUUUACGAAGAUAACUUAACCGCACUGAACGUUGCAACGACUUUUGACCAAUCUAUUCAACAAGUCGAAUCCCUGGAAUAUUUUUGAAUGUAUUUGCAAUAAUUUAAAUGAAGAAUCUCGCGCGAACCGUUCGUCUUGUCGUGAAUUGAGACUACCGCCAUUAUUUAUUUUCAUGCGAAGCAUUUGUUGUCUCAACCGCAAAAUUCGGGUUUAAUUUCUCGUUUUUUCGCAUGCAAUUCUGUCCAGAGCGUUUCUUCAUGUAAUUCGGUUUAUGCUAAUAAAUGAAUAUGUUAGCUCUGGCCGUGUUAACAUAUUUAUAACUUGAAAGAAUAUUUUGACUUCGGUAGCUAAUUUCUUUGAAAGACCCUUACAAAUAUUAUCAAUGGUGAAAAUAGAGCUUUUUCUAAAUUGGCUGUUCCUUAAUCAGGUAAAUUUAAGCCCAAAUCGCAGGGAAAACCGCGUUUCCCUACUCUUUCACUAUGAAUUGUUUACAAUAAAAGCAAUUCUAUUUUAGGCAAUCUUGAGAACAAAUGAUUUCAUUGUUCCACGCUUCUCGCUGCUAAGAAAUUCGGGAAUUUGUGGCUAAAAUGCUUUGGUGAUUGUUUGCGUCGGCAAAGGAAAGGAUUUUGUCGAUUGAUGUAAAGGAAAAUGUUUGAACAAUCUAUGUGUUGACAGCUUAAUAAAGCGUAUCUUUAGGGCGUGAUGGCCUCUCACACGUGUCUUUAUCAUUGCACAGUUCUCGAUGACACUCUGAAACUCAGCCGAUUAAAAUUCCGACCCCUGGAUUUACGAACUGCCAAUUCAAAGCUCACAGCCUCUCUCUUCACCAUUUUACCGCCUUUUGUUUGCCCGUGCUUGCAGAUAAAAAACAUACAUUCAAACUCGACCCGACGUAAUUGCGAGUGACGAAGUUCACCAAUUAGUUUUUACAUGAGCUUGAAUUAUAUUAAACUUUGUGACAUUUUGUGUAAAUUUGUUUUGCGUUUUUCGGCUAUAUUAAAAGCAGGGUUAUUUAUUGCGGAAAAAUGUGUAGGAAGUUACAGUGUUGUUGAAGCUGACAACAUGUCGGCCGCCUUGACUUGUGGUUUUGCGCAUGCGCCGCGGGAGUUGUUCGCGCGUUUUGAGACCCUAAAUUAGAAUURAAAAUGGCCCUACUACUUGAGAUUAUAAAAGCAAAUAUCAUGUGAAGUAGUGUUUAUAGAUCGCUAUAUAUAAAACGUAGCUAAAAUUGUAAGAUUGUUUAGGUAUUUUUCAUGAUAUAACAUGUAUAAAAUGCAGAGGCCAAUCAAGUAGGACGCGUCUACGUGGAAACACGAAAGGCUGCCAAAUGAUAAGCCAAAUGUUCACCGUAAUACCUGAGUUUUUGUUACAUAGCUGGCAAAAGCCGCGAAAAACGAUUUACUACAAAUGAAUUUGAAUAAUACAUGAGCAGUGUUUCCACAAAACACGUUUUUCCACCUUGUGAAAAGUAGCUUUUCGCCAACUUCUUGACCUCCAAAACAAAAACUACGCUCUACUGUUGCUACAAAAAAAAUCUAAAAGGUGUGAAUUAAAGCCUGUAAAUGACUAGGUUUUCAAAUUAAAAGCAAAAGGAAGCUAUCAAGCUGCGUCGUUUCUUUUAUUAUUAUUUUUUCUUUCUGAGUUCCGGUUUCAGCGCGAGCGUAUAAGCCAUGUCCUUGUACAAUCUUCCCCAACUAUGUGUACUUGUAAUUGAUAUCCACUAUCGACGCAGCGGCAAUCCUCAGCCAUAUUGUUGAAUCAUAAUUACGUCUUGUAAUAAUUAAAAUAGAGAAAAUGUACAUAUUACACUUAGAAAAUCCUAGCACUUCGUUUAAAAUCCCUUUAUAGUUUUCUCGAUAAAAUUUAAAAUGCUCAAAAUGCUUUGCUGACAUCGUUCAAUUCGGAUUAAUAAUUCAUUUUUUGGGGUUUUUGCUAUGGAAUUAUUAACAGGGAAGUCAGCUUUGGUCUAGUAACGGUUGCGUUUUGUAAGGGAAGGCUUCAUGCUGGUAGCGAAGCUAUCCCUUGUUCUUAGUGGAUAGUAGUUUAGCGCGAGAGAGUAUAUAUAUCGGGAACACUCAAGAUCUAAAAGUGUUGAUUUGGAGAAGCAUCGAGUCUCCUUAUUAACACUUGUACUCUUGAUAAGAUGCCUUUUUUGUGGUCCUUAACAAAACUUUUUAUCUUUUAAAGAAACACCCCAAUAUCUGUAAAUAAAACUUAAUCAUAUUUUCCCGUAUACAUUGCUGUAUUUUAGAUAGAUAUUGUUCGUUUUCGGCACGUCUACUGUUUUCUUUUACGUUGAAUGCGCACUGAACGCGAUGAAAGCAAGAUUAUAAAACGAAGGAUAAAUAAUAAAAGAGCCUUUUUUUAUUCACAAAAAUAAAACGUAAUUUCAAUGGAAGUCGUGUAACCGCAGGACGUCGUAGUGCCUUUUUGUGGCUUUUUUCAAAAUAUGAAACUCGUCCUGAGACUUGACACCAAUUGAAACAAAAUUAAUAAGAAAACAAGACUUGGCUUCCCAUAAUAUGUUCAUCUGUGCUAUAAAAAAACUCUAUAUGAUCCUAAACAUUCCCCUUGUAAGGACAAAAAUUGAUAAAUUAACGCUUUAGUAUAAUAUUUUGAGUAUUUUUUCAAGUUAAAUUCAGUUCUAAUAAAAAACAAAUCCGUUUUAGGCAAAGCUAGAUAAUUACACUAGGUCUUUAUUGGCAAUUCGCUUUAUAAAUACACUCACCUGUGCUAUUGUUUAAACUUCUCAUAUUAAACAAAAUUAUCAGUACUAUACAGUCGCCUCACCUUAGUUGAAAUUACUCCUAGAAAAACUUCCGAAAAUUAAAUUUGGAAAAGUACAUAAAAAUUAGAAUACAGUUGUGAGUUUUAAGCCUAUUUUGUCUUUUUUAAUCAAUAUUCCUUUAUAUCUGAUAAUAGCACGUGCAUGACAUAUAUGAGGCUAUAUAUAAGUUUAAAAAAUAGACAAUUUGAGUUGAAAUGUUUGCGUUUUGUCGCUCUGAUCUUUUUGAUGCCAUAAUAGUUGGCUUUUUUUAUGAGCAUUUUGACGUUGGUGAAUUUUCGUCUCAGUUUUCAAUUGGCUCUUUGCAAUGAUCACUUUGUGGCGACCAAAUGGACAUUUCAUAAAGCGACUGCAAUUGAUAAAUUCUACCUGUAAAAUUAUACAGAUCUAAUUUUGACAGCAUUUAGCGAGACAUUUCGGCCAUAUUAAAUUCUAAUUGCAAAUCGAUCCUCCCUCUUUUUGGGCGCUUUUUGGGUUCGACUACAAAUGAAAUUACAAGUCAUUACAGACAUAUGGGAUAACAGCGACUUUAGGGCGACGGAGAUAAAGGAAUUAUGUUUAAAAUACUAAAAGAAACGACAAAAAGCUCUUUAAUUAUCUAUAUUAUUGAGGGGAAUAAUGUGGCGAUCACGAAAGGUUUAAGUAAUUCCUGAUCACAUGAAAUAGAUGCGAUUUAGAAACAUGCCAGUGACAUGUCGUGAGGACUAAACGUCUUUUAAUCUCAUAAAUGAGCAAAUAUUUCAGUUUAUGAUGCAAAUAUUUGUACUCAUUUGAUCAGAGUGUGUGAGGUACGAUGGAUGUAUCGCGAACUGACGGUGGUUUAGAAAAAAAUACGCGUUCAAAAGAGAAAAAGAUUGACAAGAGAAAUAUAGGAACAAAAAUGCAACAUUUUAUGAUUUAUAAAUGAGAUAAAGGCCAAUAAAACUUUAGAAAAUAGUACUAGAAACGACAAAAAUAUCAAAUGAUAUCACACCCCAGCGAAACCAAGCAAUAUAUUUGAUGUUCAAACACUAGUCGAGUAGGAAAUAUCACAUUUUCCUUUUGUUUACUGCAAAACCGAGUAAAAAAAAAAAAAAAACAAUCCCAAAAAUAAUUAGAUCCACAAAUGACUUCUAUAACUAGAAUAUCAUAACCAUUUGCAAUGACUUGAAAAAAAUACUCAAAAAACUUUCGAAAUUGUUUAGAAUUUCAUCGUUCUUACACAGAAAUUAUGAAGAGGAAUAUGUCUUGAUCUUAGGAUGUUCCGACGAGGACAAUAUCCUGUUUUCUACGCGUUUUAUUCAGAUCAGCUCCAAGGCAACCCAAACAUGUUAUAAGAUUGCCAAUUAUACUCCAAGUACGUACUCAAAUCUAAUCAGUAGAGGGCUAGCGGGUAUUCAAAUGAGGACUGAUAUUGCCAUAGUAACGCUGGGGGGUUGGUUGCUGUUGACAACGCAUUAAAAAAAAAACACUAAAAAAUAAGGAAUGGGAAGUUUUGUAAUAAAAAGUGCUUUCUAUACGGUUUUUUAGUGUCCUAUAUCGCCGAGGAUAUUACUUAAUUAUACAAUUCAUAAGAAAUAGAAAACGUAAAAAUGCUUUUAAAAGAUCCAAAUUAUUAUAUUUUACAAUCUCGUCCCCAGGUCCUCCUCAAUAUUAGCAAUUAAACGUGUGGCCGGUAUCACACUCCGCGUGUCAGUGGAUACAUGGUCAUGCGAGACGUACGCGUCCAUCGUAGGACUAUUUAUUACACUAGACAAUUUGUUACUUGCGUAAGAUUAAACGUGCGUGGAUCUUGCACAAAGCUUGUUGCGUAUAGUUUGCGUGGAAUUUGUGUAAAUCUUGAGUAAACCCGCACCUAACGACUCCUCUUAAGAUGCUUAUCACGCAUACUUGACUAAUACGGCCAAAAUUACGUUUUUAAAGUAAACAUUAUGAAACAUUGCGUGUAUUACUUGCGUAAACGAUCUCUUUCACGCUCAUUCAAGCUGUUUUUUCAAUACAAGAGUUUCCAUUCAAUUCAAUUUCAAUAAUUCAAUCCAGAAAUCCAUCAAUUCGCAGUGGGUUUAGAUUAACUGAUUUCUAACUGUUUCCCUAUUGCACAUUGGUGAGGUUUUGAUGGAUUUGGGAGGUUGAUAUACCGUCCAAGAACAGCACGAUGCUAACCGCGUGAAACGCCCGAACUAAAACGACAAAACAUGCACGUCGUGAAUUAUCGGAACCUAUUAGUUGCACGCAUGUACAACACCAACAUUCGACUACGUAGACAUCUUUAUCCCCCUUCAAAUUUACUGCGUUUACAAGUUUUACCAGAGAUAAAAAGGAUUUCGUAGUUUUGCUCAGCCGAYUGAGUAGUUUGUGGCCAAAAUAGUUAUUUGUCUCGAAAUAUAACAUAUAGAACUAGUUAUUAUUGCCUUGGGCUAUUAAUCGAACUAAUGUAUUCGCACAAUGGUGAGAUGGAAGAUAGGAAAAGUGGAAAGAGAAGAGAAAAGACGCGAGGUGAGAAUCACGAAAACUGAGUUUUGAAAAACAAGGAAAAACUAGAAGAAAACUCGCAAAGGUAAAUAAGGAAACAGAGAGGUCAAGCGAAAAAAAGAGGAGAUUCAUAAAUUAAAGGAUGGAAAUGCAAAAUGAGAGAAAAAGAAUGUGAAAAGCGAAAACAAGAUGGAGAAGAGGAAGGAAAUUAGAGGGAAAAAUGAGCUUAAACGCGACGUCUAGAAGAGAGUUUAUGAUUAUCAUCAUCAUCAUCAUCAUCAUCAUCAUAUCAAAAUCAUUAGACAAAUAGCUCUAAUUACAUGUUGUCGUAAUGUGAAGUUUGAGGUGCAAUCUUAAUUCAAGCUAGCAAGGCUUAACAUAAUCUUUUUAAAAUUGCACAUAUCUUGCUAUAAAUAACAUUAAAACUCGUGCAUUCCAUCACGAUGAAAAAAGACAAUUUUGAUUACUUUUGCCUUGACUUUUGUCCCCUUUAUAUCAAUUAAAUUACACACAUUUUAGCUUGUAAUCCGGUGACACGAAAGGUGAAGCUAUUACGCAUCGAGCUUAAUUGGCCGGAAAGGUUCGUGCUAAAUUAACGAAAUAACAUUGGCCUAGCCCCGAAGUCUAGCUAUUAGAAUCCGAUUGGAAUGAUGCGCUUAGUUUUCACUUAGAAGCUAGCGCACAGCUCAGGAUAACAGUACUUACAUACUCAAAAACACCAUAAACUUUAAUGGACUGUAGCUUAAGCUUGUAGGUCAAAAGGGAGCCAUUUUAGCAAGCUAACACGAGGAUUGACAGGAUUACAUGGAGUUUAAUCAGCCAUAAUUGACGUAGGAAAUGGGUGUGUCAACGAGGAAGCAAAGUAAAAAUGUUACUGUAGGCAAUGUAGAAGAUGAAAAAAGAAGGAAAGAGAUGAGGAAAAUGGAAUGAGAAAAAAAAAAGAAGAGAAAGGAAAAGUGAGAAUACUAACAGUAAAAUUCAAAACACGAAAAAGAAACAGCACUGAAGAACAGAGGAGCCAAUAUCAGAGAAAGAGAAAUUAAGAAAAUGAGAAACAGAUGAUUAAAAACGGCUACAAAUAAACGUGAAAGAGAGCAGAAAACGGAUAAAGUGAAAUAAGAUGAACUUCCUUAUUUUCCCAAACAAAGAUAUGCAUCUCAAUAUGUUUUGUUUGCAAUACGGCGAAAUUACCAAUUAGCAAACACCACCCUUAUAUCACUUUCCCAAGGCAUCUUAUUGAGCCGAGUACCAUUAGAGCGAACACGAGGAAAUCCAAUUAAUCGCGAACCAAACGAAAAACGUCAUUAAACAAAGACAUUUUUGAUAACAAGAGCUAAAGAAGAAGUUAGUUUGUUUUUAAUCUUGAUAACGAUUGCAAUUAGGGAAGAGCCUAGUUGUAACGACUAUCGCCUCGGUCAGAUUAAAGGAUUGACACAAGUGCUAACGAAUGACGAAGAUAGCCAACGAGCGAGUAACUUUAGCCUUUUAAUAGCGCGUCUUUGCCACAGUCAUUUUAGCUUAAAUUACACUAUUAGAACACUUAGCGUUUUAUUAAGUCAAAUAAAGUAUUCUCAAAUAAUCAUUUUAAAAAGAUAUAGUUAUCUGUUGAGAUGUUUUCACACUUAAAAACUCAACCACCCACGAAAUGGCGGAUCUUAAACUCGACGCUUUUUCCAAACCUAAACUCAAGCACUCCUUCUUACCAUUGUUUUCGUACUAGAAAAGUUUGUUUACGAUGUAAUUAUGUUUUCUAUUGAUGCCGCAGGUUAUUAACACUUUGUUUUUGAUGACUUAUUCAGAACAGGUGACGAGAAUAACACAACAAUUGUCCAAAUUGUUAACACAAACUGAGAAAGGCUGUUGGCCAGAUGGACUACUUCCAAUUCAACUCAAAAUUUCUUUCACUUCUAGGCAUUGUAGUUAAGGACUAUAAAAAGCGUUUAUUUGGCGCAUUUGCGGUCUCUAAUUUUAGCAAUACUCGAGACAAUAAAUAGGACUGUUUAUUUUCUUGAAGUAUCGCCGAAGAAACUCCUUGACAUGAAGCGAAAGUCAUACUGUAAACGAAGUGCGUUUCUUCUUGAGUUCCAAAUAUUUUGUAACUAGUGUAUUUUGUUAGCUAUCAAGUCUUGAGAAGUUCAUAGCCACGUAAAACAAAUAUUGCGGGUAUCUCUAAGUUUCGUCAACUAACAACAAUUAGAGUCGACAAUUGACAGUACAAUUUGUAGCUAUUAGAAGCGUCUUUCUCUCAUGCAUUAUUCAAUUAUCUUUCGAUUCUUUUUAGUUCUGAAUUUUCAGUACGUUUUUACUAUCAAGAAAUCUAACAACACAAACUUUCAAUAAAAAAACAAAUCGAUUUGAAAACCAAUGAUUUGAGAACGUGAGCCGCGCGCCAGAAAAUCCUUAAUAUUAUGUAUUUGAAAUCUGUUUUAUUUGACCUUAAAAACGUUGAAACUCAAGUGAAUAUUCUUAGCACAGAAAUACUUCAUAAAAGCCACGAUUAAAUAUUUCUUUCUCAAACACGUUAUUUGCUUUCUAAACUGUUUAAUCAUUCUAACACAUUUUUCUCUUUUUACUUGGCAGAUUUGAUGCGUGGUAACAGACCUCGCCUUCCUAAUGCUGUUUCACGGAUUUAUAGCUUAGUCAUUCAGCCCGUGAAAAAGACAAUAACUUAAUAUCAUUGUUUUAGUAUCCACCAAACUAUAGGACAAAUUUGAAGUAAACAGGAAAAACAUUUUUCCUCAACUUUUUUUUUAACUUCAUUAUUCUCAACUACAACCACAGACAUAACAAUAUAGUAUAUUUUAAUAGCCAUUCAGGAUGCUGGAUUCAUGAUAAGUUUGGUGGAUACUAAUGAUGCUUUCCAUUGAGACAGAACUGAUCAGCCAGACUGGUCAAUUUAGAAGUAAAUCAUGCCUUUUAUUGAUGGAUUUUUCAGUAAUCUUUCAAGUUUCUAAUUUGGAUAAUAUUUAAAAAUUGAUCAGUUAUUCUUAACAAAAAAGACUAAUAUUGAAUCCUCUUAGAGUCUAGCCAGUCAGUUCUGGCAAAUGAAAAAACACCCAAUUACCACUAUCACUCAACUGGUAUAGUUAUAAGAGGGGUUUCAUUUGGAAAUAGGAGGCUGUUCUGAAAAAGUAGCGUAAUCGUAUUUGAAUAAUAAGGAGCCACAAGCCUUAUGACCUUAAUUUGACAAAAAAUGUUCAACCCAAAGGUCAAAAUAGAUGCCUGGGCCGGGUUCAAAGCCCAAUUAGUGCUAAUCCUGGGUUAACUCUUAGAAAACCCAUGGAGUUAACCCUGAAUUAAUGCUAAUCAGGCUUUGAAUAAUCUGGCCCAGAGUUUGCGAGUUUCUGGCUUCUUAUGAAAUCCCUGUUAUAAUGAGGUACUGUUUUCUUUGUAUUCAAUCUCGUUUGUGUACAGUACACAUUGUUACUAACAUUGUGAAGUGAUAGUGAUUCACGGAGUCACUGCCUAUAUAACCUGACAAACCCUCAAGUUGUUAACAACUGACCUUUACAUUGGACAAGUUUCCUGGCAUGUCUACGCUUCUAAAUCUAAAUACCUCUGUCUGUCCUAUCUGAAUGACAGUAAGGAUGGGUAGGAAAGCUUUUUUGAAUGAAUGAUCUGUAAAAACAAUGAAAAAUUGCAUUAAUAAAGUGAAACUUCAUAGACGA